GUGCUCGCUUCGGCAGCACAUAUACUAAAAUUGGAACGAUACAGAGAAGAUUAGCAUGAAAAAUAAGGAUAUGACAAGAAUUUGUUUGUAUUGUUUGUCUUUUCU
Small nuclear RNA from Podarcis raffonei (Aeolian wall lizard), 105 nucleotides. The record is from RefSeq and is a predicted model, not a curated record. NCBI's taxonomy places the organism in Eukaryota, Metazoa, Chordata, Lepidosauria, Squamata, Lacertidae.